AGUCUCUUCGGAGAUGAGUAAAGCGGCGCACGGGUGAGUAACACGUGGGCAAUCUGCCCUCGAGUCUGGGAUAACCCGGGGAAACUCGGGCUAAUACCGGAUACGGCUGCGGGGUCUUCGGGCCCUGUGGAGAAAGAUGGCCUCUUCUUGAAAGCCAUCUCUCGAGGAUGAGCCCGCGUCCUAUUAGCUAGUUGGUGAGGUAAUGGCUCACCAAGGCAAAGAUGGGUAGCUGGUCUGAGAGGAUGACCAGCCACACUGGAACUGAGACACGGUCCAGACUCCUACGGGAGGCAGCAGUAGGGAAUUUUGGGCAAUGGGCGAAAGCCUGACCCAGCAACGCCGCGUGUGGGAUGAAGGCCCUCGGG
This 365-nucleotide ribosomal RNA is filed under the name uncultured bacterium. RNAcentral describes it as "bacterial SSU rRNA". It matches the Rfam family "Bacterial small subunit ribosomal RNA", at positions 73 to 422 of the family's 1533-position model. The record is from RNAcentral.